UACAGAGGGGGCAAGCGUUGUUCGGAAUUACUGGGCGUAAAGGGCGCGUAGGCGGCCUGCUAAGUCGAACGUGAAAUCCCCGGGCUCAACCCGGGAACUGCGUCCGAUACUUGUGGGCUUGAAUCCGGGAGAGGGAUGUGGAAUUCCAGGUGUAGCGGUGAAAUGCGUAGAUAUCUGGAGGAACACCGGUGGCGAAGGCGGCAUCCUGGACCGGUAUUGACGCUGAGGCGCGAAAGCCAGGGGAGCAAACUGG
Molecule: ribosomal RNA, 253 nt
Filed under: uncultured bacterium
Lineage: Bacteria
Description: partial 16S ribosomal RNA
Rfam family: Bacterial small subunit ribosomal RNA
Source: RNAcentral